GUCGGGUACGGUGAUAUGGCACCGAAAACGUACAUCGGCAUGUUUGUUGGGGCGCUGUGUGCGUUGGCCGGUGUACUAACGAUAGCGCUCCCGGUUCCGGUCAUUGUGAGUAAC
Anopheles maculatus is the source of this 114-nucleotide non-coding RNA. The record is from Rfam. NCBI's taxonomy places the organism in Eukaryota, Metazoa, Arthropoda, Insecta, Diptera, Culicidae.